This 218-nucleotide ribosomal RNA is filed under the name uncultured bacterium. RNAcentral's name for it is "partial 16S ribosomal RNA". It matches the Rfam family "Bacterial small subunit ribosomal RNA", at positions 328 to 539 of the family's 1533-position model. The record is from RNAcentral.
ACGCUCGACACCUACUGGAGGCAGCAGUGAGGAAUAUUGGUCAAUGGGCGCUAGCCUGAACCAGCCAAGUAGCGUGAAGGAUGAAGGCUCUAUGGGUCGUAAACUUCUUUUAUAUAAGAAUAAAGUGCAGUAUGUAUACUGUUUUGUAUGUAUUAUAUGAAUAAGGAUCGGCUAACUCCGUGUCAGCAGCCGCGGUAAUCUGAGCGGGCUGGCAAGGC